Long non-coding RNA from Homo sapiens (human), 501 nucleotides. The record is from Ensembl. NCBI's taxonomy places the organism in Eukaryota, Metazoa, Chordata, Mammalia, Primates, Hominidae.
AUUCUCCAGGCUGCAGCAGGGCAAAGGCGGGGUCCCAACACCAUAGAGAACGCCACCCCUGUCCAUGCUGUCCCCCACUUCACCUUUUCUUGGAGCGGUCCUUCCACACUCGCCCCGAUUUGGGCUUCCCCUUCGGGAUUACAGGAAGCUCCUCUUUAUUCAACUUCUUGGACGCUGGGGCCUGGGAUGAAGAACCUUUUCGCUUCUUUGCCCCGAAGCCGCCUGUCACCGUCUCCCCAGCUGGAGGUGGCUUGCUCGGCUCAUGCUGACCCCGGGGGGAGCCAGGUGCCCUGGGUGUCAGCUCCAGUAGUGGCUGAGAGGGCUCCGGACCGGGAGCUUGCUGACCGGGGUGUCAUGAAGAGGUACAACAGGGAAGAGGGCAAUCAUGGUCCCUGCCUUAGUGGAUCUUACGGCAUCUUGGGGGCACAGAUAAUAAACACCUGAAUCUGAAAAUUAUCCUUUGAGGAAGGCUGAGCAAGAAUUAAUUCCCCCAUUUUACAG